UGCUGACGAGUGGCGGACGGGUGAGUAACGCGUAGGAAUCUACCUGGUAGUGGGGGAUAGCUCGGGGAAACUCGAAUUAAUACCGCAUACGACCUAAGGGUGAAAGUGGGGGAUCUUCGGACCUCACGCUAUCAGAGGAGCCUGCGUUGGAUUAGCUAGUUGGUGGGGUAAUUGCCUACCAAGGCUACGAUCAGUAGCUGGUCUGAGAGGAUGUACAGCCACACUGGGACUGAGACACGGCCCAGACUCC
Molecule: ribosomal RNA, 250 nt
Filed under: uncultured bacterium
Lineage: Bacteria
Description: partial 16S ribosomal RNA
Rfam family: Bacterial small subunit ribosomal RNA
Source: RNAcentral